Molecule: ribosomal RNA, 453 nt
Filed under: uncultured Porphyromonadaceae bacterium
Lineage: Bacteria; Pseudomonadati; Bacteroidota; Bacteroidia; Bacteroidales; Porphyromonadaceae
Description: bacterial SSU rRNA
Rfam family: Bacterial small subunit ribosomal RNA
Source: RNAcentral
ACGGGAGGCAGCAGUGAGGAAUAUUGGUCAAUGGGCGGAAGCCUGAACCAGCCAAGUCGCGUGAAGGAUGAAGGUAUUAUGUAUUGUAAACUUCUUUAGCUGUGGAGCAAUAAUCUCCAUGUAUGGAGAGAUGAGAGUACACAGAGAAUAAGGAUCGGCUAACUCCGUGCCAGCAGCCGCGGUAAUACGGAGGAUCCGAGCGUUAUCCGGAUUUAUUGGGUUUAAAGGGUGCGCAGGCGGCUUUCUAAGUCAGGGGUCAAAUCGUGGUGCUCAACGCCAUCCCGCCAUUGAUACUGGAGAGCUUGAUUGCGGUCGAGGUUUGCGGAAUUCGUCGUGUAGCGGUGAAAUGCAUAGAUAUGACGAAGAACACCGAUUGCGUAGGCAGCAGACCAGGCCGUAAAUGACGCUCAUGCACGAAAGUGCGGGGAUCGAACAGGAUUAGAUACCCUGGUA